GAAAUGCGAUAAGUAGUGUGAAUUGCAGAAUUCAGUGAAUCAUCGAAUCUUUGAACGCACAUUGCGCCUUCCGGUAUUCCGGGAGGCAUGCCUGUCCGAACGUCAUCAAGCCCCUCGCCCGCAGCUGUUGCUUGCAACGGUCGCUAUGGGCGGUACAUGGCUGAUGGGUGCCCUAACCGGCGCCCACGGUCGAAAUACAUUGGCAGAUCCUCAUUGGCUGUGAUUGUGAUAAGAAUAUUACCUACAAUUGCCAGACUCCGAGGUGUCUCGCCGCAAGCGGUAGCCACUCCCUCCACGGGGACGAAGCGACCAUCAACCAUAUCUUUUGACUUCGGAUCAGGUAGGGAUACCCGCUGAACUUAA
RNAcentral lists this unclassified non-coding RNA (363 nucleotides) under uncultured Pezizales. RNAcentral describes it as "sequence contains ITS1". The stretch from base 1 to 105 matches the Rfam family "5.8S ribosomal RNA", at positions 50 to 154 of the family's 154-position model. The record is from RNAcentral. Lineage: Eukaryota; Fungi; Ascomycota; Pezizomycetes; Pezizales.